Molecule: ribosomal RNA, 460 nt
Filed under: uncultured bacterium
Lineage: Bacteria
Description: bacterial SSU rRNA
Rfam family: Bacterial small subunit ribosomal RNA
Source: RNAcentral
CAGGACCUAACACAUGCAAGUCGAACGAAGGCUUCGGCCUUAGAGGCGCACGGGUGCGUAACGCGUGGGAAUCUGCCCCUCGGUUCGGAAUAACAGUUGGAAACGACUGCUAAUACCGGAUGAUGACGUAAGUCCAAAGAUUUAUCGCCGAGGGAUGAGCCCGCGUAGGAUUAGCUAGUUGGUGGGGUAAAGGCCUACCAAGGCGACGAUCCUUAGCUGGUCUGAGAGGAUGAUCAGCCACACUGGGACUGAGACACGGCCCAGACUCCUACGGGAGGCAGCAGUGGGGAAUCUUGCGCAAUGGGCGAAAGCCUGACGCAGCGACGCCGCGUGAGUGAUGAAGGCCUUCGGGUUGUAAAGCUCUGUGGGGAGGGACGAAUAAGUGCUGGCUAACAUCCAGCGCGAUGACGGUACCUCUUUAGCAAGCACCGGCUAACUCCGUGCCAGCAGCCGCGGUAAU